RNAcentral lists this ribosomal RNA (253 nucleotides) under uncultured prokaryote. RNAcentral's name for it is "partial 16S ribosomal RNA". It matches the Rfam family "Bacterial small subunit ribosomal RNA", at positions 524 to 776 of the family's 1533-position model. The record is from RNAcentral.
UACAGAGGGGGCAAGCGUUAUUCGGAAUUAUUGGGCGUAAAGGGCGUGUAGGCGGUCAGGUAAGUGAGACGUGAAAUGCCCCGGCUCACCCGGGGACCUGCGUCUCAUACUGCUUGGCUUGAGUACGGGAGAGGGUGUGGGAAUUCCUGGUGUAGCGGUGAAAUGCGUAGAUAUCAGGAGGAACACCGGUGGCGAAGGCGCACACCUGGCCCGAUACUGACGCUGAGGCGCGAAAGCUAGGGGAGCAAACGGG